This 424-nucleotide ribosomal RNA is filed under the name Verrucomicrobiota bacterium. Its description in RNAcentral is "Verrucomicrobia bacterium partial 16S ribosomal RNA". It matches the Rfam family "Bacterial small subunit ribosomal RNA", at positions 355 to 776 of the family's 1533-position model. Lineage: Bacteria; Pseudomonadati; Verrucomicrobiota. The record is from RNAcentral.
UGAGGAAUAUUGGUCAAUGGGCGAGAGCCUGAACCAGCCAAGUAGCGUGCAGGAUGACGGCCCUAUGGGUUGUAAACUGCUUUUAUAUGGGAAUAAAGUGAGGGACGUGUCCCUUAUUGCAUGUACCAUACGAAUAAGAACCGGCUAAUUCCGUGCCAGCAGCCGCGGUAAUACGGAAGGUCCAGGCGUUAUCCGGAUUUAUUGGGUUUAAAGGGAGCGUAGGCUGUUUGUUAAGCGUGUUGUGAAAUGUAGGAGCUCAACUUUUAGAUUGCAGCGCGAACUGGCAGACUUGAGUGCGCACAACGUAGGCGGAAUUCAUGGUGUAGCGGUGAAAUGCUUAGAUAUCAUGACGAACUCCGAUUGCGAAGGCAGCUUACGGGAGCGCAACUGACGCUAAAGCUCGAAGGUGCGGGUAUCGAACAGG